Molecule: ribosomal RNA, 497 nt
Filed under: uncultured bacterium
Lineage: Bacteria
Description: partial 16S ribosomal RNA
Rfam family: Bacterial small subunit ribosomal RNA
Source: RNAcentral
GAUGAACGCUGGCGGCGUGCCUAAUACAUGCAAGUCGAGCGAACGGACGAGAAGCUUGCUUCUCUGAUGUUAGCGGCGGACGGGUGAGUAACACGUGGAUAACCUACCUAUAAGACUGGGAUAACUUCGGGAAACCGGAGCUAAUACCGGAUGAUAUUUUGAACCGCAUGGUUCAAAAGUGAAAGACGGUCUUGCUGUCACUUAUAGAUGGAUCCGCGCUGCAUUAGCUAGUUGGUAAGGUAACGGCUUACCAAGGCAACGAUGCAUAGCCGACCUGAGAGGGUGAUCGGCCACACUGGAACUGGGACACGGUCCAGACUCCUACGGGAGGCAGCAGUAGGGAAUCUUCCGCAAUGGGCGAAAGCCUGACGGAGCAACGCCGCGUGAGUGAUGAAGGUCUUCGGAUCGUAAAACUCUGUUAUUAGGGAAGAACAUAUGUGUAAGUAACUGCGCACAUCUUGACGGUACCUAAUCAGAAAGCCACGGCUAACUACGUG